UGGAUGGGCGUGGCCUUCUCGAUUUGAGGUCCCGCCUCGGAUGGGCGUGGCCUUCUCGUCCUCAUCCUCUGACGCAGCUGCCAGGUCUCUGUCUGCGUGAGUCCCUGCCCACCCUCCGCCCUGCCUCCUCCUGCCCUUCCUAAGCUCUUCCUCACCCCAGCCCAGCUUUGGGAAUAAAAUGAGGACACUGGGGAAGACCCUCCUCGGAGCCAGGGGUCAGGAUUUGAGGUCCCGCCUCAGCCCUGCCCCGACUGGCGUGGGACAGCGGGCAAGUCCCCGCCCCUCUACCUGGGUCUCCGUUUCCUCCUGUGUCAUUGGACUGAGGUGGUGGCUGGGGUGAUUUCAGGGACAGGAAGGACUUUGAGAGCAGAGAAGUGGGGGAAGGAACGACGUUCUUGGCAGCAGAAAACAUAAACACGCACAGGGAGCGGGGAAAUCACAGCUUGGGGAAUGUCGGGGACGAGGUUUUGAGGACUUAGAAUUGAUCUCCAACAUUUGAGAUCAGGGGCAGGGCUUCUCCUCCCAUGGCGCUUGCAAACACACACACACACACACACACACACACACACACACACGACUUCACAAAUCUGAGUGGUUUGACUUGGCUCAGCUAGAAAAGCAAAUGGAUGACACUGGGUAAUGAGCUAGGGAUUCUGCGCUCCUGCGCUUUUCAUAGAUUAUUGCACUUGGUUCUCGUAGGAACGAUGGGGCAUCCGAACUGUUAUUAACCCCAUUUACAGAUCAGCAAACUGAGGUUCAGAGCAGUGUAGCGACUUGCUCAAGGGCACACCGCCGUAAGUGGCUGGCUGGAACUGAAUUCAGGUCUCUCCCAUAUAAAGCCCAGGCUAAGCAAUAUUUUUCCUGGCUCCAGCCUUCUGAUGGCCUUGGUGCUGCUGAUCUUUGCAUAAUAGCCCCUUCAGAGUUUGCGGCUGGCUUUUUUCCCUCCAUACCUGGCAUGUCUGGGAACUAACUCUCCCCUCCUCCCUGAUAUAGGACCCCAGAGCCAAAGCUCCCUUUAGCAUCUUCUAACCCAGUUGCCUCCUUUACAGGAGAAAAGACAGUGCAUUAGAGCCACCUGCCACACGGACGCACGCAAGGGGCUGAGAUAAUGCUGGUGUCGCUGUUGUUACUUCAGAGGCUAGGAAACUUCUUCAGACCCACUCAGCCUCGAUCGGAGCCAGGGUUAGAUUUGGAGCGAGGAUUAGAAAGGGUCCCUUUUCUCUAGGAAUGAUGGAAUAGAGAAGUGGCUGUAUGUAGUCCUGCAAGUCUGUGGAACCAGUGCCAAGCAAAGCUGACCCAUAGAGCUGCGUCUUUGUGACAGACCUAGGACCAGAAAGCAAUGAGGAGCUGCAGUCAAUCCACUCCAAUCUUAAAAUCCACAAAGACCGUUCAGGGGAUGCAGUCAGGGCUGAAGGGGUGACUCACCUCCAUGACAUGGCAUCCACGCCCCUCCACCCAGUCUGGCUGACUGCUCCCCCGCCCCCACCCCACGCACAUGACACAGGCUGACAAAAGGCAUUAUCCCUGAUUGUAGACGCAGAAGCUGAGGCCCAGGCUGGGCCAGCAGCCUUUCCAGGAUCCCUGGGGGAGGUGGAGGCAGGGGUGGGACACCGAUCCCUCGCCUCUGUUUACCCCUCGCCCUGACUGAGGCAGGAGCUGGGUAGGGGAGGAGAACCCCCUGCCCAGCCUUUCUGGUGCAGCCCCCACAGGUGAAGGGCAGGCCAGGUGGGGUGGGGCUCAGUGUGCAGAGCCCAGAGGCGGCCCUGUGUCAUCACAGGGGACGUUCCAGUUGUGCAGGCUUCCCACGUGGUGACUUUUAUUUCUGCAGCAUCAGCCUUCGCAGGGUCGGGCGUGAUGAGGUGGAAAGGACGGGGGCAUUGGAGGGAGGCAAAUCUGAACUUGAAUCCUGGCACUCCCCCCUGGGCUGUGGGGCUGACCCAGUGGCUUUUUUCUUUGCCUCUCUUUCUUCACCUGUAAAAGCAGGAGGAGGAGGUAUAUUUCACCUUCUCAGGCUGCUCUGUGGAUUCAGUGCCGUGAUGCACAAAUAUGCCCGGUGGACAGUCCAGGCUCGAGAAAUGUUCAUUCUCUUUCCUGUUUCUCAUCCUCUCUCCCCUGAAAGAGAAUUAGUCAGCUCUCAGGAUCUGACUGCAACAGUACAGCAUCCUCAGGGGCAAAGUUCGAACCGCAAGGCAAAUAUUUUCCUUAAGAACCAAUAAGGUCUCUGUACAGUCUAGGCAGACACAUAUAGAUUCACAAGCCAUUAGGAGAUUAAGAGAUCAUCUCUUGAAAUCCUCUAAAAUAGCCACGUCCCCCAACAGUUCCUUCUUUGAGGGCCACCUUUUGAAGUAAAUGGAGUAGCCAGCGGAGAUCCAUCCUUCUACCUGCUGAGUUAACACAGACCUGCUCUAAAACAGCUAAUCUCAAUCCUCAUAGUCUCUGCAGGUUCUGCCAGAUCACCCACCUUUGUCCAUUACCCAUCCAGAUGGAGCAGCCUGGAUCUUCAGGCUUCCCCGAGGAUCACAACGGCUGAUACUUUUGCUCAUUUAAAAAGAGAUGCACUGGAGUUCUCCUGUGCUAUAGCAGGUUAGGGAUCCGGCCUUGUCACUGCAGCAGCUUGGGUUGCUGCAAUGGCACAGUUUUCACCGCUGGCCCAGGAAAUUCCACAUGUGCCGCAGG
Molecule: long non-coding RNA, 2676 nt
Filed under: Sus scrofa (pig)
Lineage: Eukaryota; Metazoa; Chordata; Mammalia; Artiodactyla; Suidae
Description: lncRNA (ENSSSCG00005032807.1)
Source: RNAcentral